GAGCAUAUUUAUUUAUUGUUAAGAAAUGCACUGUAUGUUUAUGUUUUUGUUUACACAGUUCUCACGGUCUGUCAAAUCAGGAUAAACAGAUCAGUAACAAAAAGAACUCGAAGCUGUCUUUUAUAUACGAGAGGGAGUUAUAGUGAGAAUUUACUGCUUCAGAAGACAGCAGUGAGCAACAUAAACCAAGUAAGAUGUCUGAGAGUGGCAGAAAGCAUGAAA
Long non-coding RNA from Syngnathus acus (greater pipefish), 222 nucleotides. RefSeq lists it as uncharacterized. The record is from RefSeq and is a predicted model, not a curated record. The transcript has 2 exons. NCBI's taxonomy places the organism in Eukaryota, Metazoa, Chordata, Actinopteri, Syngnathiformes, Syngnathidae.